GUGUCAGCCGCCGCGGUAAUACGUAGGUGGCAAGCGUUGUCCGGAUUUAUUGGGUUUAAAGGGUGCGUAGGUGGCCCUGUAAGUCAGUGGUGAAAUAUCUCAGCUUAACUGAGAGGGUGCCAUUGAUACUGCAGGGCUUGAGUACAGAUGAGGUAGGCGGAAUUGACGGUGUAGCGGUGAAAUGCAUAGAUAUCGUCAAGAACACCGAUAGCGAAGGCAGCUUACCAAGCUGUAACUGACACUGAGGCACGAAAGUGUGGGGAUCAAACAGGAUUAGAAACCCCCGUAGUCC
This 292-nucleotide ribosomal RNA is filed under the name uncultured bacterium. RNAcentral describes it as "partial 16S ribosomal RNA". It matches the Rfam family "Bacterial small subunit ribosomal RNA", at positions 505 to 796 of the family's 1533-position model. The record is from RNAcentral.